AUCGCUCAUUAAAUGUAAAACAAGGAUAGAAUAAGCAAAUAGCGCUAAUAGCGCGCUCCCCGAAUGCAGCCCUGUGUAUAGUAUAUGUCACUAAUGGUCGCAGGGGAAAGUGAUCAAAACAAGCCGUAUGCCGUAUUGUCCUCUAAAAAAAGGCAGGAAGAAAUAUAAGAAAUAUUAUAACUGAUAAAAUAAGAAAAAAUAAAAGUAAAAUGCGAUAUUGCGAAGCAGUUAAUUGUGGCAAUUCAAGUAAAAAAGUCUUCAAAAUGUGCCAUUUCCCUACCUCUCCGAACCGAAGAGCAAAAUGGAUAAAAAAUGUGGGGCGUGAUAAGUGGUCUCCUAAAAAAUAUUCAACAUUAUGUGAAAAACAUUUUCCGAUGAAAUGUGGGAAAAUGCACAAAAAAUUGGGGAAAAAAAAAUUAAAAGCCAACAGCAGUUCCCAAUCGUUUUGACCAGCCAACUCUUCCUUUAUCUUUACUUACAACUAUUUUAGAAGAGUAUAUUGAAGAACAAACUUCAAACAAUCAUUCUGAACACAAUUGUGAUCAAGAAAUUAACUCGGCAAAUCAUGAAAUUAACUCGGAAACUUUAAACAAUCAUUCUGAACACAGUUGUGAUCAAGAAAUUAACUCGGCAAAUCGAGAAAUUAACUCGGAAACUUCAAACAAUCAUUCUAAACACAAUUGUGAUCAAGAAAUUAACUCGGAAACUUCAAACAAUCAUUCUGAACACAGUUGUGAUCAAGAAAUUAACUUGGCAAAUCAAGAAAUUCACGUUUUAUUUGAUUCUAACAUGCAGUUAAAAUGUUCAAGAAACAAUGAAGACGCAAAGAAAAUUUUUAAGUUGGAGAAAUUGGUUAAAAGAUAUGCGCGAGUUAUAAAGACAAUGCAGACGCAACACAAAAAACAAAAAAAAAUAUUUCUAAACCGCAUUCAGAAACUUAAACAACAAGUACGUGUUAAUAAUACUAUUUCUGCUCUUUUUAAUGAUUUAAUCACAAGUUAAAAUCAUUAACCGACAGUAUAAGAAAGUACCUAAAUGGUGUCAUGCCACAUUAGUAAAAGCGUAUAAAUUAAAGUUUUCUUGCGGAAAUUCUAGAUAUCAAGAAUUGUUAAAUCAAGGACAUCCAUUGGCUUCAGUCCGUACAUUAACAAGAAAAUUAGAGAAUAUAAAGUUUGAACCAGGGAUUAUUGAUGAAGUUUUUGAUUUCUUAAGUAUAAAAAUAUCUCAUUUUAAAAAGGAUACCGAUAAAGACUGCAUUGUAGUAUUAGAUGAAAUGACAAAAGUAAACAAGAAGCUUGUCAGGCUUUAGUUAUCAUGCUUGCUGGCAUUGCUAGUCGAUGGAAACAAAUAGUUGCUUAUCACUUUACUACAAAAACUUUAAAAGGAGUAGAUUUAAAAGAUGUCGUCGAUAAUGUUAUUAAGAAAAGUGAAUAGGCUUACGUAUUCAUGCCAUAACUUCUGAUAUGGGUGGUGCAAAUCAGGGAUUGUGGAAAUUAUUUGGUAUUAAUGCCAAUAGAUUUUCUCGCGUUGUAAGCAUCCUUGUGAUGAAAAAAGAAAACUAUGGUUUUUUGGUGAUAUUCCACACUGUUUUAAAAAUAUUAAAAGUGGAUUUUUAAAUAAUAAAUACAUUGAAAUGUCUCAAAUUUUUGUAGAUAAGUACAAUCUAUCUACGAAUUUAGUAGAAAUAAGUCAUAUAUAAGAAUUAGUUGAAACACAAAAAGAUUUGGAUUUUAUGCUGGCACCAAAGCUUCGUGAAGAAUACUUAAAUACAAAAAAUCAUUUCUUGAAGAUGCGGGUUAGUAGCGCAUCUAACGUAUUGAAUUAUGAUGUUAGCUCAGCAUUAAAUUUUUUAGCUGAAGAAAAAAACAAAGUUUCUUAUAAAUCUACAUCGUGGUUUGUACAAUAUAUUGCUCGUUGGUUUGAAAUAAUGAUUGCGCGCUAUCCUCUCUUUGCUUUGGGGAAAAAAAUGGAGGAGUAUAAUAAAACGAUAACAUUUCUCAAAGAAGCCAUAACUUUUUCUUCUGAAUUAAAAGUUGGAAAGGAUCAAAGUUGGAAACCAUUUCAAACAUCAGCUAUGAUAUCCACUACGUCAUAUAUUCAAGUAUCAGAAUAUUUACUAAAUAAGGGUUUUGAUUUUGUUAUGAGUUCGAGAUUUAGCCAAGAUUGUUUAGAAAAUGUUUUUUGCAUUGUACGGUAAAAACAUCCUACACCAAAUUCCAUUCAAUUUAAAAAUAAUUUAAAGCUAAUCACAAUAUCACAAUAUAUGGAAAAUGUCAGUCACGGUAAUUAUGAGGAAGAUGAUCGAACUUUUUUAUCAGAGUUUUUAGAAAUUUUAGAAAAGAAAAAUACAAAAAAGACUAGAACUAAUGAUGAAAAGAAGAAAGAAGAAGAGGACGGCAAUAAGGAAAAUAACUGUGAUAUCAUUAAUAAUAAUAAUAUUAAUGGUAAUUAUA
Temnothorax curvispinosus is the source of this 2453-nucleotide long non-coding RNA. RefSeq lists it as uncharacterized. The transcript has 5 exons. The record is from RefSeq and is a predicted model, not a curated record. Lineage: Eukaryota; Metazoa; Arthropoda; Insecta; Hymenoptera; Formicidae.